AAGUCGAACGGGGUUAUGCUAGAUGAAGUUCUCGGAUGGAAGCUUGUAAACUUAGUGGCGGACGGGUGAGUAACACGUGAGCAACCUGCCUAUCAGAGGGGGAUAACGAUUGGAAACGAUCGCUAAUACCGCAUGACAUAGCGGAACCGCAUGGUUUUGCUAUCAAAGAUUUUAUCGCUGAUAGAUGGGCUCGCGUCCGAUUAGAUAGUUGGUGGGGUAACGGCCUACCAAGUCGACGAUCGGUAGCCGGACUGAGAGGUCGAACGGCCACAUUGGGACUGAGACACGGCCCAGACUCCUACGGGAGGCAGCGGUGGGGGAUAUUGCACAAUGGGGGAAACCCUGAUGCAGCGACGCCGCGUGAGGGAAGACGGUCCUCUGGAUUGUAAACCUCUGUCUUCGGGGACGAAACGAGACGGUACCCGAGGAGGAAGCCACGGCUAACCACGUGCCAGCAGCCGCGGUAAUACGUAGGUGGCAAGCGUUGUCCGGAAUUACUGGGUGUAAAGGGAGCGUAGGCGGGCAGGCAAGUCAGGCGUGAAAUAUAUCGGCUCAACCGGUAACGGCGCUUGAAACUGCAGGUCUUGAGUGAAGUAGAGGUUGGCGGAAUUCCUAGUGUAGCGGUGAAAUGCGUAGAUAUUAGGAGGAACACCAGUGGCGAAGGCGGCCAACUGGGCUUUUACUGACGCUGAGGCUCGAAAGUGUGGGGAGCAAACAGGAUUAGAUACCCUGGUAGUCCACACCGUAAACGAUGAUUACUAGGUGUGGGGGGACUGACCCCUUCCGUGCCGGAGUUAACACAAUAAGUAAUCCACCUGGGGAGUACGGCCGCAAGGUUGCAACUCAAAUGAAUUGACGGA
RNAcentral lists this ribosomal RNA (860 nucleotides) under uncultured Bacillota bacterium. Its description in RNAcentral is "bacterial SSU rRNA". It matches the Rfam family "Bacterial small subunit ribosomal RNA", at positions 59 to 917 of the family's 1533-position model. Lineage: Bacteria; Bacillati; Bacillota. The record is from RNAcentral.